CCCUUGGAUUCUCUCCAAUCACUUUUAAGUAAGGGUUGUGAUAGAAUUAAGUAAGGGGUGUUGCUGAUUUUGGAGGGAUGAAUCAAGGAUUGAUUGAUUGAUGAAAUUAUUCCUUGUUUGUGUAGGUAUGAGAUGCCUAUUUAAAGGGACCAGGCGUGAUGCAUAAGGGAAUUGGAGCCUUCAAUCAGCCGCCACCCUCUCCCUCCUUCUUCCCUUUGGCGUGAGCAAGAGAGAAAGAAGAAGAGCCGUCGUCUUCUUCUUCCUCCCCUUCAACGUCUGUCGUCUUCCUUCUUCUUCCUCUCAAA
Molecule: long non-coding RNA, 305 nt
Filed under: Phoenix dactylifera (date palm)
Lineage: Eukaryota; Viridiplantae; Streptophyta; Magnoliopsida; Arecales; Arecaceae
Description: long non-coding RNA (PDAC_LNC011883)
Source: RNAcentral